This 251-nucleotide ribosomal RNA is filed under the name uncultured bacterium. Its description in RNAcentral is "partial 16S ribosomal RNA". It matches the Rfam family "Bacterial small subunit ribosomal RNA", at positions 524 to 773 of the family's 1533-position model. The record is from RNAcentral.
UACAGAGGUCCCAAGCGUUGUUCGGAUUCACUGGGCGUAAAGGGUGCGUAGGUGGCAGGGUAAGUUUGAUGUGAAAUCUCCGAGCUUAACUCGGAAACUGCAUUGAAUACUAUCCUGCUCGAGGUUUGGAAGGGGGACUGGAAUUCUCGGUGUAGCAGUGAAAUGCGUAGAUAUCGAGAGGAACACCAGUGGCGAAGGCGAGUCCCUGGACAACACCUGACACUGGAGGCACGAAAGCUAGGGGAGCAAAC